GACGAACGCUGGCGGCGUGCUUAACACAUGCAAGUCGAACGGAAAGGCCCUGCUUUUUUUGUUUGCUCGAUUUGCGAACGUGUGAGUAACACGUGUGUAACCUGCCCUUUACUUUGUGAUAACUUCAGGAAACUUGUGCUAAUACCGUAUAGGAUCUCCUGCUGCAUGGUGUGUGUUGGUAAGUUUCGGCGGUUGGGGAUGGACUCGCUGCUUAUCAGCUUGUUGGUGGGGUAGUGUCUUACCAAGGCUUUGACGGGUAGCCGGCAUGAGAGGGUGACCGGCGACAUUGGGACUGAGAUACGGCACAGAAGCCAACGGGAGGGAGCAGUGGGGAAUAUUGCAGAAUGGGAGGAAGCAGGAGGAAGAAACGCCGCGUGCGGGAUGACGGCCUUCGGGUUGUAAACAGAUUUGGAAUGUGAAGAAGCGGGAGUGACGGUAAUGGGUAAAGAAGCAACGGCUAAGUACGUG
Molecule: ribosomal RNA, 468 nt
Filed under: uncultured bacterium
Lineage: Bacteria
Description: partial 16S ribosomal RNA
Rfam family: Bacterial small subunit ribosomal RNA
Source: RNAcentral